AUGCUCUCUUCUUUGCGAGUUUUCAUAAAUGAGAGAUGGAUCGGAAGAAGCAACAGAGAUCGAGAUCUCAUGCCGGACCAGUUGAAGAUCAACGGUUUUGCGCCACGAAUCCUACCUGCCACCCUAAUUUUUCAUCAAUUCACUUCUCUAAAUCCAUAUAUACAAGUAUCAUAUGUGUGUUUCUACAUCUUUUUAUCCCUAAUUUGAACCCUAUCGUCAACGAAUUGUGUUCUUAAAAAUGGGUCAGGUGUCAGUCAUCGUAGCUCUGAUCGUCGUCUGUGCCGUCGGCGAAUCUUCGAGAGGGAUCGGAUCCAUCUUUGCCGUCAUGUUUGAGAAAGUUGUUGGUGAUCACAAUUGCUAUCUUAAUACUUGAUAUUUUUCUUAUCUUUGUAGGAAGGGUUUGAGUCAACUGAGAGUGGAAUUGAUGUCUUCUUCUGCAACUAUUAUUAUAUAUCGAGUUAUGCUCGAUUCCUCACAUCCGACACAUCAAUGGCUUCCCGCGACUCCGCUGGGUAAUUGAUAAAUUGUGCACUGCAGAUGGCAUAUAGAGAUCUGUGAGCGGAUGAAGGUGAUGUGUGUUGUUCGUGGAAGUGACGGUAGUGAUGGUGCAUGGUAGUGUGACGGUACGGCGGUAUAUUUUGCCCUUCCUGAUUCACCCUGAUGUUGGCAUCGUUUCCACUAAACUGUUUCACCAAAGGAUAGAAUUACAAACAGCUGGUGAUUAAGAUAAUUGAAAUACCAAGGUGCUCAUAUGAAGUGACAUUAUAACUUUUCGAAUCCUACAUGUUUUCCUUUUUUUCGUAAUCUUUCACAACUCUCAACACGAUUGUGAGCCUAAUGAAACUGAUCUGGACAUGUGAACUUACAGAGAAUGUUACCCAACUAUUCAUCAAAUAACCCAGUCGGGAUAUGGAACUUUUCUUCUGUGUACGGUCUUGAUAUGUUCGAGGCAAAAGUUCGUGGUGAAUUCGGCAUCGGAUUGAAUAUUCAGAUUUUGGAUGAUGUUAAGUUGGAUGUCUUUAUCUUACAUGAAUUUGGACAAGAUAGAGAUAGUUAACGUUCCACCACAUUUGGUGUAUGCGUGUUCGAAAGCGAGUCGGAUCGACAAAUAUAAUACAUUUUUUUUGAUGGCGACGUAAUUUUUUUUUUUCAAAAAUGAGUCGUGUCAAAUAUAGCGUAUGAUUCCGAGUUACUAUAACUUUUGACGCCGCCGCAACGCGCGGCGGGUCAAAAUCCUAGUUGU
Long non-coding RNA from Helianthus annuus (common sunflower), 1243 nucleotides. RefSeq lists it as uncharacterized. The transcript has 4 exons. The record is from RefSeq and is a predicted model, not a curated record. NCBI's taxonomy places the organism in Eukaryota, Viridiplantae, Streptophyta, Magnoliopsida, Asterales, Asteraceae.